Molecule: long non-coding RNA, 2190 nt
Filed under: Nicotiana tabacum (common tobacco)
Lineage: Eukaryota; Viridiplantae; Streptophyta; Magnoliopsida; Solanales; Solanaceae
Description: long non-coding RNA (NTAB_LNC002283)
Source: RNAcentral
UCAAACCCUAGAGACCCAUUCUUCAUCUCCCUCAUCUCUAACAUAGCAAACCCUAGCCGCCCUAAAUUCCUCGCCGCCUCUGCCGCCAGCCACCACCGGAAAUUGCCUCACGGUGGUUCCGGUGGUCCAAACCUUCCUUAAAUUUUACCAGGCAACCCCCUUUCCCUCCUCUUUCCAAAUCCCUAAACCAAUCCCUUCAAAUAUCCACCAAUUUCCUCCGAUUUUGGAUCUGAAAUUCAACCUAAAAAACUCAACUCGCCCAAACAACCUCAAACUCACACCAUGCAGUCUCUCACUCUUCCUCUCCACAAAUACAACUUUGGUUCCUCUGAAAUUAGCCCCAAUUCUGCCAAAUUAUGAAUCAAAGGUUCUGGAAAAGCCCUAAGUUCCACUCCUUUUACUUUCUUGGUCGGUAUGUGGUCAAGCGAACUCCAAACCGUCAUUAAUCAAUGGUUCCUUAUUAAGGACAGUCGACUAAUGAUAGUUAAAGGUUCUCUUCAUUCGUUUAAGGCCGGGUCGAGUUUGUAGUGGAUUUCGUUUGGGAGUGAACAUAGGUAUUUCCUUAUUAUUUUAUCUUGUCUUUUUCCCUCUGUUAUUUUCUUCCCCUGUCUCUUGAGUUUUUCAUGACUUCAUGACUAUUUAGUUGCAUAAUUUAGGGUUCUUAGCAUUUUAGGAUUAUUUGUUGAUUUCUAUGUUUAAUCGUUGUUGUUAGCCAGUAUUUUAGGAUUAGUUCAUGAAUCUUCUAUCAAUAUCGUUAAAUGUUCAGUUUUUGUUUGGUUAGGGUUUAUCUAGAUGGGUUUAGUUCAUGUUUAGGAAAACCCAUUUGGAAUUAGCAUGCUAAUCUCUCUCAUUGUAGUGUGAUUAUUUGUUAAUGGUCGUAUGUAAUUGAAUUUAGAAGGUUUGAGCCUCAGGGAUAGUUCAGUCAUUAGAUAAUGUUAAUAUUGGUUUCAUUUGUUUAAUGCUGUGUCAUUUCUGAUUUCUCUUAGUAAUAAAAUUGUUCAAGUUAAGAGGUAAUUCAAGAAUCAGUCACUAAGGGUUUGGUACUUUCAAUCAGUCAAAUUGUGCCUGUUUUGUUUUCUGUUUGUUAGUACUAAUUCAUAAGCAAUUGGAAGUUUGGGGGUUCAAUGGUAUAAGGAAGAACUUAAGGAGGCUGGGGAAAGAUAUGAAUCCAACAUUGAGUUAAAAGGUAUCUAGGAAGGUUCUAGAACCUGGGGCAGCUGUCCCCAUUGGAUUAGCAUAAAAAUGCUGAGCCAAUAAGGGAUAGCCAGCUGUCCAGGUAGUUAAAAAAAAGAUUCUUGGGUGAGGGAAUAAUUCCCAUUCUAUUUUCAGCAGCACAUCGCAUCAAAAAGGGCUAAAUAUAGACCCUUCUUUCACUAAAAAAGAGAGACUCCGACCCUAAAAAAACUAGAAAGUUCUUGCAUCUUUGGCUGAAAUUUGUUUUGGGUUUUUGCUUUUUGGUCUUCAUUGUUAAGUCAGAAUUUAAAACUUCCAGGGAUUUCUGUUCAUCUGGGAUUAAAAAAUGGUUUAAAAGAGUUGAACAUUGCUGUUUGUUGUGCUGAGCUACUGUUACUACUAAAAUCCUCACUUUUUUGCUGUCUCUUUACCUCCAGGUACCUCUUGAACUAUACUAGUAUGUGAAGCUCAGAUCUGAAGCAUGUAAUCGAAGUUGGAAUUUUAAACAUUAGUUUUGCUGGGUAGCAGCUUGUGUUAUUUAGAGCCUAUCCUUGGUUUUUGCCUUAAAUUAUGUUUCAUUACAUGAUUCACUGUAUUUAUUCAUGCUAUUGAGAGUACAAUUCAUCUUGGGGUUGUAUUUGGACUUUAGUUUGUCAUUUUGGUUCUAUCCUAGUUAAAUUCGUCCUGUCGAGUACUUGGGUGUUUGGAUUGUCACAUUAUGGAUUAAUUUAGAUGAGUAACAUUCUUUGUUGGAUUUUGAUUGAAUUGGUUCAGUCUAGUAGUGAUGUUAAGUUCAAGGUCAGCUCUCAUCAUGAUUCUGUUGCUUUGAGUUUUGGUUUUAAACAUCUGAAUGAACUCAGGGGCUAUUGUGUCAUUGUAAUACUUGAUGUCUAGAAUAUCCCUACUGUUAGAAUUACCCUGUAUGAACUCAACAACAGCUGGUAGUAACUUCAAUUUUCAAAUGAGUGGGGCCUUUAGUUCAUUAAUUGUAUAGUGUUUUAAUUUUCUAUAGUUUGU